RNAcentral lists this ribosomal RNA (301 nucleotides) under uncultured bacterium. RNAcentral describes it as "partial 16S ribosomal RNA". It matches the Rfam family "Bacterial small subunit ribosomal RNA", at positions 509 to 807 of the family's 1533-position model. The record is from RNAcentral.
CAGUCGCCGCGGUAAUACGAAGGGUGCAAGCGUUAAUCGGAAUUACUGGGCGUAAAGCGUGCGUAGGCGGUUUGUUAAGUCUGCUGUGAAAUCCCCGGGCUCAACCUGGGAAUGGCAGUGGAUACUGGCAAGCUAGAGUGUGUCAGAGGAUGGUGGAAUUCCCGGUGUAGCAGUGAAAUGCGUAGAGAUGUGGAGGAAUACCGAUGGCGAAGGCAGCCCCCUGGGCCAAUACUGACGCUCAUGCACGAAAGCGUGGGGAGCAAACAGGAUUAGAUACCCCCGUAGUCCCUGUCUCUUAUAC